Molecule: transfer RNA, 65 nt
Filed under: Dipodomys ordii (Ord's kangaroo rat)
Lineage: Eukaryota; Metazoa; Chordata; Mammalia; Rodentia; Heteromyidae
Rfam family: tRNA
About the family: Transfer RNA (tRNA) molecules are approximately 80 nucleotides in length. Their secondary structure includes four short double-helical elements and three loops (D, anti-codon, and T loops). Further hydrogen bonds mediate the characteristic L-shaped molecular structure. tRNAs have two regions of fundamental functional importance: the anti-codon, which is responsible for specific mRNA codon recognition, and the 3' end, to which the tRNAs corresponding amino acid is attached (by aminoacyl-tRNA synthetases). tRNAs cope with the degeneracy of the genetic code in two manners: having more than one tRNA (with a specific anti-codon) for a particular amino acid; and 'wobble' base-pairing, i.e. permitting non-standard base-pairing at the 3rd anti-codon position.
Source: Rfam by way of RNAcentral
GGUGUCUCAAUGGUAGAGUGCUUGCUUUGCAAGCAUGCGGCCCUGAGUUCGAUUCCUCAGUACCA